UUAGAGUUUGAUCCUGGCUCAGAUUGAACGCUGGCGGCAGGCUUAACACAUGCAAGUCGAGCGGAGAAGGUGCUUGCACCUUAUCUAGCGGCGGACGGGUGAGUAAUGCUUAGGAAUCUGCCUAUUAGUGGGGGACAACAUUUCGAAAGGNAUGCUAAUACCGCAUACGUCCUACGGGAGAAAGCAGGGGAUCUUCGGACCUUGCGCUAAUAGAUGAGCCUAAGUCGGAUUAGCUAGUUGGUGGGGUAAAGGCCUACCAAGGCGACGAUCUGUAGCGGGUCUGAGAGGAUGAUCCGCCACACUGGGACUGAGACACGGCCCAGACUCCUACGGGAGGCAGCAGUGGGGAAUAUUGGACAAUGGGGGGAACCCUGAUCCAGCCAUGCCGCGUGUGUGAAGAAGGCCUUAUGGUUGUAAAGCACUUUAAGCGAGGAGGAGGCUACUGAGACUAAUACUCUUGGAUAGUGGACGUUACUCGCAGAAUAAGCACCGGCUAACUCUGUGCCAGCAGCCGCGGUAAUACAGAGGGUGCGAGCGUUAAUCGGAUUUACUGGGCGUAAAGCGUGCGUAGGCGGCUUUUUAAGUCGGAUGUGAAAUCCCCGAGCUUAACUUGGGAAUUGCAUUCGAUACUGGGAAGCUAGAGUAUGGGAGAGGAUGGUAGAAUUCCAGGUGUAGCGGUGAAAUGCGUAGAGAUCUGGAGGAAUACCGAUGGCGAAGGCAGCCAUCUGGCCUAAUACUGACGCUGAGGUACGAAAGCAUGGGAGCAACAG
RNAcentral lists this ribosomal RNA (770 nucleotides) under Acinetobacter sp. CUL-LABH9L9. RNAcentral describes it as "bacterial SSU rRNA". It matches the Rfam family "Bacterial small subunit ribosomal RNA", at positions 1 to 775 of the family's 1533-position model. Lineage: Bacteria; Pseudomonadati; Pseudomonadota; Gammaproteobacteria; Moraxellales; Moraxellaceae. The record is from RNAcentral.